Molecule: ribosomal RNA, 86 nt
Filed under: Dasypus novemcinctus (nine-banded armadillo)
Lineage: Eukaryota; Metazoa; Chordata; Mammalia; Cingulata; Dasypodidae
Source: RNAcentral
GUCUGCUGAUCUCAGAAGCUAAGCAAGGUCAGGCCUGGUUAGUACUUGGAUGGGAAACUGCCUGGGAAUAUCAAGUUCUGUAGGCG